AAAAAUCACCACCUCCACGACGCACAACGACUCACAAACUCACGCCGAAAUGCCGACUUGACGCGAUGCCACCACUUGCACUCAUCUUCAAAGCUGACAGAAGAGAUGGGGGAAGGAGGGAGAGAGAUUCGGAGGAAGAGAGAUUUCAAAAGAAAAGAGGGGAAUCGGCAUGCACAAGAGUUCAUGGAAGCUUUUCCUAGAGUGCUUACAUGUCGUCCAUCUAUUGGAUGAUGCAAAAUUGGGUUUGAUACCCAUCCAGUUUGAAACUUUUCCCUAAAUAAAACUGCAUCUUGAACAAGAAUACAUGUUAGUGGAUACAUAAAAAACAUUAAAAAAAAUGCUCACUACAUAAGAAGAAAAAAAUGUCAUAUUAGUUAGGCCUGUGCAUAAAAGGGCCUAGCCCGAUCAACCCGAAAGAUCCAACAUGGACCCAUCCGACUAAAGUCAAGUCCAUUGGUUCAAAGCUAAUAACAAGUAUAUUACCCCCAAUUAUAGGUUGAAACCGAUCACCCGAGGAAAUCAUUUUGAACAAGGAGAUCGAUCUCUUUACUCUCUUCGUUUACAAAGAGCUCGAUUGGUUGAGCUAGGAUGUGCUCGUCGCCAUAAAAAAGAUGCACAAGAAGAUCCAAGCCAAUGAGAUUCCACGAUAGAUCUCAUUUACUUGUGAGAUUCCAAAAGUAUACAUUUCCUUUUUCGCAAAACCCAGAUUUGGAAAAGAAUCUCAUACCUUUGUCCUUUGUAGAGAAGGUUUCUUUUAGAGUGGGUCCGAGCAUAUGCUGAUAAAUAUGGAAAAGAAAUAUUUCUUUACCCUUCAUGCAAAUACGCACCUAGCACCUUCCUAGGACCAGUAUGAAUAAAGCCUUUGAAGAGGGGAUUUUUCUUCAAAGAUUUUUUUAUUUUUUUAUUUUUGCCUUCUUUUUCUUAGCCUGAAAUUGCCUUCUUUUUUUGAAAAUGUGAUUUGAUUAAUUUUUGUGUGGUAAUUUAUAAGCACUAUGAUGAGUAAUUUGAGAGAGAAAUCGAUGUCGUUGUCUAAGUCGUAUGAAGACGAAAUGGACAAGUUGAUGAGAGGAAUGAAUGAUCCUGACUGGGAGUUGUGGGAGGAGUGGAGAUGGAAUGGGAAGGUGUAGGAAUUCAUGACUAAUUUGUAAACUAUGAUGAACUUAUCAAAAAAAAAAAAAAAAAAAAUUGCAGGUUGUGAUGAAA
Molecule: long non-coding RNA, 1203 nt
Organism: Carya illinoinensis
Lineage: Eukaryota; Viridiplantae; Streptophyta; Magnoliopsida; Fagales; Juglandaceae
Exons: 2
Source: RefSeq, a predicted model, not a curated record